CACGCCAAGGAGGCAGGACGAUUCAAAUCAGCCUGGAUAUUGUGGAACGUGUGUCAUAGUCUGACUCAGAUUACCUUCCAUGUAACUACCAAGUAGAUUAGAUUCAAAUUGACUUGUAACCCUAAGUCAUUAGCCUAUAUAAGAUGGCCUAGGCCACCCCCCGAGGGUAUCCCAACUAUUCCACGCACCAUCACAAAGCAAUAC
RNAcentral lists this long non-coding RNA (204 nucleotides) under Setaria viridis. RNAcentral describes it as "long non-coding RNA (SVIR_LNC004448)". The record is from RNAcentral. Lineage: Eukaryota; Viridiplantae; Streptophyta; Magnoliopsida; Poales; Poaceae.